CAGCCGCCACGGUAAUACAGAGGGUGCAAGCGUUAAUCGGAAUUACUGGGCGUAAAGCGCGCGUAGGUGGUUUGUUAAGUUGGAUGUGAAAGCCCCGGGCUCAACCUGGGAACUGCAUCCAAAACUGGCAAGCUAGAGUACGGUAGAGGGUGGUGGAAUUUCCUGUGUAGCGGUGAAAUGCGUAGAUAUAGGAAGGAACACCAGUGGCGAAGGCGACCACCUGGACUGAUACUGACACUGAGGUGCGAAAGCGUGGGGAGCAAACAGGAUUAGAUACCCCCUGUAGUCCCUGUCUCUUAUA
Molecule: ribosomal RNA, 301 nt
Filed under: uncultured bacterium
Lineage: Bacteria
Description: partial 16S ribosomal RNA
Rfam family: Bacterial small subunit ribosomal RNA
Source: RNAcentral